Molecule: ribosomal RNA, 2991 nt
Filed under: Triticum aestivum (bread wheat)
Lineage: Eukaryota; Viridiplantae; Streptophyta; Magnoliopsida; Poales; Poaceae
Description: partial small subunit ribosomal RNA
Source: RNAcentral
UCGACUAUCUCGCUGCGCCUCUCCCUACCUGGUUUCCGCUACGCCUAUGUCUCUUCUCCCUCUCUAGCUCGGUUCCGCUACACUCCGCGCCCUAAGUUAGCUGGCCUCAACCUCCGUGCGCGACCCUAGCUCGCCUCCGUGGGUGGUGGGUAGCGGCCCUGCAGCCGAAGAGGGAAGGGAGUCCGGGAGGGACGUGGGUAGGUGGGUAGGUGGGGGCCACCGAGGUCCUCCCCGUAGUGUUGGCGUCCGUGGCCGCCGCCGUACGGUAGGUGUGGCGCGAGCGCGUAGUGGCCGCCGGGGAAGUCCAGACUCGCGUUGAACGGCGGCAGCCGGUCCGGCCCGGAGAGGAAGGUGACCAGGGUUCUAGGCGGCUGUGGUUGGGGCAGCAGGUCGCGGCCCACGGGUUCUAGUCGUACGGAGGAGGGUUACGCUCAAAGUGAACCUUAAAACAAAAGACGACCGACAUCCUACUUACACUUAAAGCAAACGGCCUUUAUGUAGAUAAAACAAGCACAAAACUGUUCGCUAAAAAAGUAAGUCAUUUUACAGAAAAAAGUGUUCUCUACCUAUUUAUCCGGCUAUAUAUGUACGUUUGUCAUGUCAAGACCCUUUGAUGAUGAUGAUUACUUACAAAUUAUAGUAGACGUGUUCCAACGAAGUAUCUAGAAAAAAAAAGUCUUAGAAGUGUGUAGAAAAACCAGAUUACAUAUGAACGUCCAAAUAGAUCUACUUUUAUCAGAAAGUUAUAAUCCGACUACGAAGUUGAUUCGUACAGAGAAAAAGUUAGAUAUCGCUUAUAGUAGACUGUGAUGAAAGGAUGAUUGUCCAUAAAAGUAUACCGGCUUUCUUAGUCGGCGAUCUCUAAAUUCUUUGACAAGUUGACGCGUUAAAAACCAAUGCGGAAAAAGUUAAUCAAAACUUGAAAUUUAGGGACAACUUACAUACAUAUAAUUACAAAUCACGUGUUUUAAGCUCCCCAAAUUGAAAAAGGGAACGUGAAGGAUCGCUGGGUCUGGUCGCGGUACCGUUGCUCGCACAGGGAGGAUGGGGCUGGAAGUUGAACUCCCCGUCUAGGGUGGUGCUGAACCACCGCGGCGACCACCUUGGCCGCAGGGAUUCGCUCGUUAGCAGGUCUACCGGCAGUGUGAAGGAGGGUCGUCCAUGAUGAGGGAAGGAGAGUAUAAGAGUAGUCGAUUAAGUUGUGUUCUUGGGACGGAAGCAGGGUUUAGUUCUUACUAUAAGAAAACCUAGACUUAGUUCUAUCCAAUAUAACUAGGGGGGAGGUCACUUAUAAAGACAUUCUCUUAAAAUUAAUCCUUCUAAGUAAGAGCCACCUCUUCAUCUCCGUAACAAAGGUGCCCCACCAUCAUUCCACAACGUCUUCGAGGUUGGUAUAGCGGACUGACGAAAACCUUAGAAUUUAAGUGACUCAAGAACUCGUGGUACCGUUCCGUUUCCACGAGGUACACGGGACGUAGAAGUUUUCGUAGUAGACUACGUCAGAGGGUUUUUCAUCGUAAUACAUUUUUAGACCAAGUAGAUUCAUAUUAUACUUUUGUAUGUUCUAAGUAAUCUGCACUUUUUACGAUACUCGUCUCUAUUGUGUGAUUAGUUGUAAGACGUAAUCUAAUGAAUCAACUCUCGACCUUGGACUUCUUUUCACUUAAUUCGAUCUUUGUAUUUUUAAUCCGUGAGGGACAUUGAGGUUAGGGUUCAUCCGUCAGUCUUUAGAACCGUAAGCUGACAACCUCUACUACUCGAAGUCUUCACUCUACCAAGACAACUUCAUUGCCACGCAGACCCACCAGACCGGCAACUGGCAACGCAGGUAACACCCCAACCGAGCAGGACGUGGAGAAGGCCGGUAUCACUGACCCGCUGUUGACUUUUAGGAAGAGCUUAAACUCGAGGUAAAAAAAUUUCUAAGGGAUAAAAAACGUACGAAAACCUGACAUAUUUACGAGAACUAUACCAAAUAUCGACGACGAUGAUGAGAAUGGUAGCGGUUAGUUCAAUAGGUACAGUUUAGUUGGGGAUAGCUGAUCUUUAUCUCAUCACAGUUUCUCUUCCAAACUAACAUGAUAAAUAAACGAGUUUAAACUAACAGAUGAAAGAAACCUACCUUUUGAAGUUGGAUUUUUAUUUGACCACCAGAUAUGCUUUAUUGUGUAAUCAAAAGAUAACACUACGGAGUGAAAAAUAAACAGAGUCGUCUAAUCUCAUUAUUCAACUACCAGUAAGAGAUGAAACAUAAACAUGAAAAAUACUCUAACUAGGUUCUUUCUUACUGUACACACGGUAUACAUACCCAGUUAAGUAUUCACUUUUUUACCAAAACUAGAUCCUUUAGACUUUGGCAUCCUAACAUAUCGUUCUUCACAUCAGAGUCUAAUAAUGACAUCUAACAGAAUAAAACAUUGCAUAAAACAAAGUACUUAUAUAUAAGGUUUUAAAGAGUGCAUGACAAAGACGUCUCUCCUUCUUUCCUCGACUAACGUCCCGUGAUUUUAUAAAGAAGCCGGUUUCGAGGCACUAGCGAAUGUGUCAAUGUGUGCAUAUAAUAGGUACAUCAUACCCAAUAGACCCUAGUCAAUGUUGUACCGUGAACCUAUAACAAGUAUUUCCACCGUAUUAAACAGUUAAAUUAUAUGAAGGUAGAGUGACACAACUAAAUGAGUACGAUAAAACUACUGCUACUGUAGUUACGGUUAAGUAUAGAUACGUUCCGUAGUCACGAACUACUAUAUCACUACACAAUGAGAAACCCCGGAAUUAAACGUCGUCUUCUUCUACGUUAUUUGAGACUUUUGAUCUAAUAAAAACGAGUAUACUGUGUUUCCGUUACCCUUAACAAAACUCCCACAGCUAGUACGAACGGAAAGGGACUCAAGGUCGAUAAGUACGAUGACGUAUAUUAUAGGUAACAUCUAUAUGUCUACAACGGUAGUACUAUAAUCUGUAUUAGACCUGAUGAGGGAAACUUUCCCCAUG